RNAcentral lists this ribosomal RNA (762 nucleotides) under uncultured bacterium. RNAcentral describes it as "bacterial SSU rRNA". It matches the Rfam family "Bacterial small subunit ribosomal RNA", at positions 189 to 934 of the family's 1533-position model. The record is from RNAcentral.
ACGCCUUACGGGGGAGAGCAGGGAAUCUUCGGACCUUGCGUUAAUGGAGCGGCUGAUAUCUGAUUAGCUAGUUGGUGAGGUAAAGGCUCACCAAGGCGACGAUCAGUAGCUGGUCUGAGAGGACGACCAGCCACACUGGAACUGAGACACGGUCCAGACUCCUACGGGAGGCAGCAGUGGGGAAUUUUGGACAAUGGGCGCAAGCCUGAUCCAGCCAUUCCGCGUGAGUGAAGAAGGCCUUCGGGUUGUAAAGCUCUUUCGCAAGGGAAGAAAACUUACUUUUUAAUAAAGAGUGAGGUUGACGGUACCUUGAUAAGAAGCACCGGCUAACUACGUGCCAGCAGCCGCGGUAAUACGUAGGGUGCGAGCGUUAAUCGGAAUUACUGGGCGUAAAGCGUGCGCAGGCGGUUUUGUAAGUCAGAUGUGAAAUCCCCGAGCUCAACUUGGGAACUGCGUUUGAAACUACAAGACUAGAAUAUGUCAGAGGGGGGUAGAAUUCCACGUGUAGCAGUGAAAUGCGUAGAGAUGUGGAGGAAUACCAAUGGCGAAGGCAGCCCCCUGGGAUAAUAUUGACGCUCAUGCACGAAAGCGUGGGGAGCAAACAGGAUUAGAUACCCUGGUAGUCCACGCCCUAAACGAUGUCUACUAGUUGUUGGUGGAGUAAAAUCCAUGAGUAACGCAGCUAACGCGUGAAGUAGACCGCCUGGGGAGUACGGUCGCAAGAUAAAACUCAAAUGAUUGACGGGGCCCGCACAGGCGGUG